Molecule: ribosomal RNA, 641 nt
Filed under: uncultured bacterium
Lineage: Bacteria
Description: bacterial SSU rRNA
Rfam family: Bacterial small subunit ribosomal RNA
Source: RNAcentral
GGGGCAGCGGGGUAGUGCUUGCACUACUGCCGGCGACCGGCGCACGGGUGAGUAACACGUAUGGAACCUGCCCGCAGCAGGGGGAUAAGCGGAAGAAAUUCCGUCUAAUACCGCGUAACAACGUUGGGAGGCAUCUCCCGAUGUUUAAAGAUUUAUCGGCUGCGGAUGGCCAUGCGGCGCAUUAGCUAGUCGGCGGGGUAACGGCCCACCGAGGCGACGAUGCGUAGGGGUUCUGAGAGGAAGGUCCCCCACACUGGUACUGAGACACGGACCAGACUCCUACGGGAGGCAGCAGUGAGGAAUAUUGGUCAAUGGCCGAGAGGCUGAACCAGCCAAGUCGCGUGAGGGAAAGACGGCCCUACGGGUUGUAAACCUCUUUUGUCGGGGAGCAAAGCGAACCACGUGUGGUUCAUUGAGAGUACCCGAAGAAAAAGCAUCGGCUAACUCCGUGCCAGCAGCCGCGGUAAUACGGAGGAUGCGAGCGUUAUCCGGAUUUAUUGGGUUUAAAGGGUGCGCAGGCGGAGGUGCAAGUCAGCGGUCAAAUUGCGGGGCUCAACCCCGUACUGCCGUUGAAACUGCAUCCCUUGAGUGCGCGAGAAGUAUGCGGAAUGCGUGGUGUAGCGGUGAAAUGCAUAGAUAUC